UACGGCCGUGUGACCCGGUUGCUCUGGACACUGGUGAUUCUGGUGUUUACGCGCCGUAAGCCAGCUAGUACCGGACGCAGCGGCCGAAGUCGCCUGGAGCCCGAGCGGCCUCCGAAGCCGUAAGACCGGAUAGGAGCCGUGCGUAAGUUACGGGUUUCAGGAUCGCAACCAACCGCUUCCACGGCCGUUGGCAGCUGGUUGGCAGUGAGGUGAGAUUCAGUUUUCGGAAAAUGGCGUCACCAUCAGAUUAAAAUUGAGACGGCUCCGUGUAAAUUCGCAGAAAAUUAUAAUAUUUUACGUCAAUGUUAUUCAGUGCGUGAAUUUAAAGUUGCCGCCAGUCUGGAACAUAUUCGGGAGCGAUCGCAGCCACCACUCAGCGUUGUUUAUUGAGGUUAGAAUCUAGUAAAUUGAUUUGUCAUCAUUGGUCAUUGCUCAUUACGUGUGUUCGUUUUUCGUUUAAUUUGGAGGUUUUCGAUAUAUUUUCUUGAUUCUGUGUGGUGCACGAUUGAUUCUAAAGUUCUGUGUGAUAACGCUUGUCAAAAACUUUCGGAAAUGCGACGAGAGUUAAGUGAAAAUUGUCAGUUUUACCUACGCACUGAGCUCAUAUCCUAUCCUCCUUUUGCUGAAGGGAAGAUCUAUAAUUUUAACAAGUGUGACAAUUUUCGGUGGUAUAUUUCUUCGCUAAUAUUUUGUGGAAAUUGCAUCCGGUUGUUAUUGCGGAGAGUUAUAUCUUGAAGUUUUGUCAACUUUUACUACUGAAUUUACACCUUGAAAUAUUCUCAACCUCAUUUUCAAGAUUCUGAAGCUCUUCUAGUCAUAAGGAGUAAAACUCUGUAAGUACCUAGACCCACGCCAGUGGUUUUCCUUUGUUAAUCAUUUAGGUGAUUUCCUACUUUGCAUUCGUAUUUUUUAUCGAGGGAUGAACCAGGUUUUGUUUUUGUAAAAUGCUGAAUUCUCAUUGAGUGAAAGUAAUUACAUUUAUUGAGAACGGGCUGCCAAGUGAUAAAAAUGAUUUUUCAAUUUACAUUUUUCGCUGCAAUGAGUUUUAGCAAUUUAUCAUACCUUGGGCAGUCUGUUCUACAUUUAAAAUAGGUAGCAAGAAUUUUUGAUCUAUCUACAUUUGUUCCUUCAUGUCUUGGUGGUUGGACUAUUUCCAUAACGUUGUACCUACCCAGUCAAUUGGAUAUAUAUGGCUGAUCAAACUGAUCGUGAAAAUGCCUGAAACAUCUUUGCACCCUGCCGUACAUACAUACCCGUACAAAUGUUCUUAUCAUCCCAAAAGCUGAAGUAAUGUUAUUGUCAACCUGAUAUGGGCUAAAAUGAGAGGAAUUAUCUAAUUUUUGUUUGUUUAUCCAUCAAACAUUGACAAGUAUUCCGCAGACUUAAUAAGCUAUAGUCAACUGCUUCAAAUCUAUGAACUUUACUCAUUUUUGUCCUAAAAAUAAAUUCCAAGGUACCUAUUUACUGCAAAGCUAAGAAUCAGUUGAAUACUUCUAAGCCAAAGUUUAUUCUGCUAUCUACAAAUUAGAGUGCUUUAUUUAUUUCUGGGAAGGCUUGCAACAUUAAAGUUAGGUUUUUGAAAAUUUCUCUUGAUAUCUCUACACGAUGAAUAAGCUAACAUUCAUAUGCUGAUUUUCUUUCUCAAUAAGCAUCAUCUCUUUUUCUUUCUCAGUCAGUGAAUUAUCC
Molecule: long non-coding RNA, 1686 nt
Filed under: Bemisia tabaci
Lineage: Eukaryota; Metazoa; Arthropoda; Insecta; Hemiptera; Aleyrodidae
Description: lncRNA ENSSSA3NGG014131
Source: RNAcentral